GAUGAACGCUGGCGGCGUGCCUAAUACAUGCAAGUCGAGCGAACAGACGAGGAGCUUGCUUCUCUGACGUUAGCGGCGGACGGGUGAGUAACACGUGGAUAACCUACCUAUAAGACUGGGAUAACUUCGGGAAACCGGAGCUAAUACCGGAUAAUAUUUUGAACCGCAUGGUUCAAUAGUGAAAGACGGUCUUGCUGUCACUUAUAGAUGGAUCCGCGCUGCAUUAGCUAGUUGGUAAGGUAACGGCUUACCAAGGCAACGAUGCCUAGCCGACCUGAGAGGGUGAUCGGCCACACUGGAACUGAGACACGGUCCAGACUCCUACGGGAGGCAGCAGUAGGGUAUCUUCCGCAAUGGGCGAAAGCAUGACGGAGCAACGCCGCGUGAGUGAUGAAGGUCUUCGGAUCGUAAAACUCUGUUAUUAGGGAAGAACAUAUGUGUAAGUAACUGUGCACAUCUUGACGGUACCUAAUCAGAAAGCCACGGCUAACUACGUG
Molecule: ribosomal RNA, 497 nt
Filed under: uncultured bacterium
Lineage: Bacteria
Description: partial 16S ribosomal RNA
Rfam family: Bacterial small subunit ribosomal RNA
Source: RNAcentral